GACCUGAUCGCACAACGGUUAGUGCAUCUGCAUGCAGUUUUUUUUCCAAGAAAAUAGGUUUAUGCAGAAGAUCCCCGUUCGACUCGGGGUCAGGUCA
Mycena latifolia is the source of this 97-nucleotide non-coding RNA. The record is from the annotation of a GenBank genome assembly. NCBI's taxonomy places the organism in Eukaryota, Fungi, Basidiomycota, Agaricomycetes, Agaricales, Mycenaceae.